RNAcentral lists this ribosomal RNA (245 nucleotides) under uncultured Oscillospiraceae bacterium. RNAcentral's name for it is "partial 16S ribosomal RNA". It matches the Rfam family "Bacterial small subunit ribosomal RNA", at positions 524 to 768 of the family's 1533-position model. The record is from RNAcentral. Lineage: Bacteria; Bacillati; Bacillota; Clostridia; Eubacteriales; Oscillospiraceae.
UACGUAGGUGGCAAGCGUUGUCCGGAUUUACUGGGUGUAAAGGGAGCGCAGGCGGGAUGACAAGUCAGCUGUGAAAUGUGUGGGCUUAACCCAUAAACUGCAGUUGAAACUGUUGUUCUUGAGUGGAGUAGAGGCAAGCGGAAUUCCGAGUGUAGCGGUGAAAUGCGUAGAUAUUCGGAGGAACACCAGUGGCGAAGGCGGCUUGCUGGGCUCUAACUGACGCUGAGGCUCGAAAGUGUGGGGAG